UCGGGAAUAUUGCGCAAUGGAGGAAACUCUGACGCAGUGACGCCGCGUAUAGGAUGAAGGUUUUCGGAUUGUAAACUAUUGUCAACAGGGAAGAAAAAGACAGUACCUGAAGAGGAAGCCCCGGCUAACUAUGUGCCAGCAGCCGCGGUAAUACAUGGGGGGCGAGCGUUAUCCGGAUUUAUUGGGUGUAAAGGGUGCGUAGACGGGAAGGCAAGUUAGUUGUGAAAUCCCUCGGCUUAACUGAGGAACUGCAACUAAAACUAUCUUUCUUGAGUGCGGGAGAGGAAAGUGGAAUUCCUAGUGUAGCGGUGAAAUGCGUAGAUAUUAGGAGGAACACCAGUGGCGAAGGCGACUUUCUGGACCGUAACUGACGUUGAGGCACGAAAGUGUGGGGAGCAAACAGGAUUAGAUACCCUGGUAGU
RNAcentral lists this ribosomal RNA (422 nucleotides) under uncultured Acetivibrio sp. RNAcentral's name for it is "bacterial SSU rRNA". It matches the Rfam family "Bacterial small subunit ribosomal RNA", at positions 355 to 794 of the family's 1533-position model. The record is from RNAcentral. Lineage: Bacteria; Bacillati; Bacillota; Clostridia; Acetivibrionales; Acetivibrionaceae.